GUAACGGCGAGUGAAGCGGCAACAGCUCAAAUUUGAAAUCUGGCCGUCUUCGCGGUCCGAGUUGUAAUUUGUAGAGGAUGCUUCAGGUGCGGCGCCGGUCUAAGUUCCUUGGAACAGGACGUCAUGGAGGGUGAGAAUCCCGUCUGUGACCGGUGGCCCAGCCCGUGUGAAGCUCCUUCGACGAGUCGAGUUGUUUGGGAAUGCAGCUCUAAAUGGGUGGUAAAUUUCAUCUAAAGCUAAAUACCGGCCAGAGACCGAUAGCGCACAAGUAGAGUGAUCGAAAGAUGAAAAGCACUUUGGAAAGAGAGUUAAAAAGUACGUGAAAUUGUUGAAAGGGAAGCGCUUGCAACCAGACUUGCCCGUGAGCGAUCAGCCGUCCUUCUGGGCGGUGCACUCGCCCGCGGUCAGGCCAGCAUCGGUUCAGGCGGCCGGACAAAGGCCCCGGGAACGUAGCUCCCCUCGGGGAGUGUUAUAGCCCGGGGUGCAAUGCGGCCCGCCGGGACCGAGGACCGCGCUUCGGCUAGGAUGCUGGCGUAAUGGUUGUCAGCGACCCGUCUUGAAACACGGACCAAGGAGUCUAACAUCUAUGCGAGUGUUUGGGUGUCAAACCCAUGCGCGCAAUGAAAGUGAACGGAGGUGGGAACCCUCAAAGGGCGCACCAUCGACCGAUCCUGAUGUCGUCGGAUGGAUUUGAGUACGAGCAUAGCUGUUGGGACCCGAAAGAUGGUGAACUAUGCCUGAAUAGGGUGAAGCCAGAGGAAACUCUGGUGGAGGCUCGCAGCGGUUCUGACGUGCAAAUCGAUCGUCAAAUUUGGGUAUAGGGGCGAAAGACUAAUCGAACCAUCUAGUAGCUGGUUCCUCCCGAAGUUUCCCUCAGGAUAGCAGUAACGUUUUCAGUUUUACGAGGUA
This 909-nucleotide ribosomal RNA is filed under the name Umbilicaria polyphylla. Its description in RNAcentral is "eukaryotic LSU rRNA". It matches the Rfam family "Eukaryotic large subunit ribosomal RNA", at positions 83 to 1010 of the family's 3401-position model. Lineage: Eukaryota; Fungi; Ascomycota; Lecanoromycetes; Umbilicariales; Umbilicariaceae. The record is from RNAcentral.